RNAcentral lists this ribosomal RNA (512 nucleotides) under Leuciscus aspius. Its description in RNAcentral is "Aspius aspius partial 16S ribosomal RNA". It matches the Rfam family "Bacterial large subunit ribosomal RNA", at positions 1854 to 2565 of the family's 2925-position model. Lineage: Eukaryota; Metazoa; Chordata; Actinopteri; Cypriniformes; Leuciscidae. The record is from RNAcentral.
CAGCCUGCCCAGUGACUACGGGUUCAACGGCCGCGGUAUUUUGACCGUGCAAAGGUAGCGCAAUCACUUGUCUCUUAAAUAGAGACCUGUAUGAAUGGCUAGACGAGGGCUUAACUGUCUCCCCCCUCCGGUCAGUGAAAUUGAUCUAUCCGUGCAGAAGCGGGUGUAAUUAUACAAGACGAGAAGACCCUUUGGAGCUUAAGGUACAAAGUUCAACCACGUUAAACGACUCCGCACAAAGCAAGAACUUAGUGGAAAAUGAAAUUUUACCUUCGGUUGGGGCGACCACGGAGGAGAAAAGAGCCUCCGAGUGGAUUGGGCUAAAUCCCCAAAGCCAAGAGAUACAUCUAUAAGCCGCAGAACAUCUGACCAAAAAUGAUCCGGCUGAAAAGCCGAUCAACGAACCAAGUUACCCUAGGGAUAACAGCGCAAUCCUCUCCCAGAGUCCAUAUCGACGAGGGGGUUUACGACCUCGAUGUUGGAUCAGGACAUCCUAAUGGUGCAGCCGCUAU